CCUACGGGAGGCAGCAGUGAGGAAUAUUGGUCAAUGGCCGGGAGGCUGAACCAGCCAAGUCGCGUGAGGGAAGACGGCCCUACGGGUUGUAAACCUCUUUUGUCAGGGAGCAAGGUGCAGGUCGGGACCUGCUGUGAGAGUACCUGAAGAAAAAGCAUCGGCUAACUCCGUGCCAGCAGCCGCGGUAAUACGGAGGAUGCGAGCGUUAUCCGGAUUUAUUGGGUUUAAAGGGUGCGCAGGCGGAGGCACAAGUCAGCGGUAAAAUCGCGGGGCUCAACCCCGCUCCGCCGUUGAAACUGUGUCCCUUGAGUGCGCGAAGGGUAGGCGGAAUGCGUGGUGUAGCGGUGAAAUGCUUAGAUAUAACUUAGAACUCCGAUAGCGAAGGCAGCUUACCAGACUGCGACUGACGCUGAAGCACGAGAGCGUGGGUAGCGAACAGGAUUAGAUACCCCAGUAGUC
RNAcentral lists this ribosomal RNA (459 nucleotides) under uncultured bacterium. RNAcentral's name for it is "partial 16S ribosomal RNA". It matches the Rfam family "Bacterial small subunit ribosomal RNA", at positions 338 to 795 of the family's 1533-position model. The record is from RNAcentral.